GUAUUGUCCUCGGGUUUUAUUUUCAUUGUGUCAAGCUACAAUGGGACUUUGAGCAUCUAGUUCUUGUCUACGGGCACCAUUCAACAGGAAAUUGAUUUCCAUGGGUGACAGGCGUGGAGGCUCCAUGGGUUCCGGGGCGAGGUACACGCAGCAGCAUCAACAUGCUGUGGGUCUCUAUUCCUUUUCUUCUUGGGCUGGGGCUCUCAAAUCCUACCUGCCUUUUUUUUACUGAGCCUACAUCUCUUCCUCCUGAGCAUGAAGACAUUGGUGCUCAAGUGUAGUCAGCGUUUCCCAUGAACUGUACCUGGUUCCAAAUUAGGUGAGUGCUAAGGAAACAGCAAGCACAUGUGGGGUGGGGGACAGAGAUUUUACAGAGAAUAACUGAUGACGCAUCACCAUUGACAGGAGCCUUAAGGGCAAAACACAGUGCUUGUCAGUUCACGUUUGUAUGGUCUUGGAGAAGAGGCAUUUUCAGGCUCUGCAUCAUGAUAGCUAUAAUAAGCUGAGUUGAGAGACUUCAAUACAUGCCCAGCUAUGAGUAUGAACACUGAUGAGAAAGCUUGUGUGCCUACUCACAUUCAUUUCAUACAAGUAGACACUUAGCUCAUUCAAAAAUACAGCUGGCAUGAUAAGCUUUUGAGAGUAUGAAAUACAUAUGAGGGUGUUCAGUUUCCAGUCAGGGUUAUGCCAUUUUUAAUGGCCAUAUACUUACCCUGUCUGGUGCAUUUAUUCAUUUUCAGGCCAAACUAGAUUCAAUGAUUUUCGUCAUUUUUUUUCACCUCUGUUGACAUUGUCUGACAAGACUGUUCAGGCUCAGACUGCUUAGGAAAAAUAAACUUUGGUGCCAGAUUUUGAGCCAUCAGCAGUGUUCCCUCUCAUCUUUAUUCUAUUAUUCUGUUGCAAAGGAACUUUCAGCUCAGGAGCCACAAUGGAAAGAAAACAACCAGCUCUUUUUUCCUUCUUUUUUCCCUCCCCCUUUUUCCAUCUUGUGAUCUUAACCCAGCUGGUGAGGGAGAAAAUUCCCAUGUGAGGCAUGUGGGUGGAGCCCAAUUGUGUAAGCUCCAUGCUCGCAAAGUGUUUGGCAUGGAUCUGCUCGCUCGCUUUGUUUUCCAUGGCCAGACACAGGGGGAAGCCACAUUCAGCACAUUAACAGCUGCCACCUGUUGCUCUGUGCUACUUCAGAGGAACCCUGAGGCUGGAGAAUCACACUGUGCUCUGGCCCUUGAUCUCCAGGGAAGUUUGGUAUAGCAGGGAUGUGCAUCUGUCCCCACGUUUUUCCUGCUUUUGCAGGCUUCCGCAGGACAUGAUACAGGUGGGUUUGGGAGCCCAAACAGAGAAGAGGUCCUUGGAGCAACCUGAGCACUGCUUUGGUGCAGGUCACUAGGAAGAAUUUUCAAGCUCCUUUUGAUUUGGCUGUCCU
RNAcentral lists this long non-coding RNA (1420 nucleotides) under Strigops habroptila (Kakapo). RNAcentral's name for it is "lncRNA (ENSSHBG00005014017.1)". Lineage: Eukaryota; Metazoa; Chordata; Aves; Psittaciformes; Psittacidae. The record is from RNAcentral.